GACGAACGCUGGCGGCGUGCCUAAUACAUGCAAGUUGAGCGCUGAAGGUUGGUACUUGUACCAACUGGAUGAGCAGCGAACGGGUGAGUAACGCGUGGGGAAUCUGCCUUUGAGCGGGGGACAACAUUUGGAAACGAAUGCUAAUACCGCAUAAAAACUUUAAACACAAGUUUUAAGUUUGAAAGAUGCAAUUGCAUCACUCAAAGAUGAUCCCGCGUUGUAUUAGCUAGUUGGUGAGGUAAAGGCUCACCAAGGCGAUGAUACAUAGCCGACCUGAGAGGGUGAUCGGCCACAUUGGGACUGAGACACGGCCCAAAAUCCUACGGGAGGCAGCAGUAGGGAAUCUUCGGCAAUGGACGAAAGUCUGACCGAGCAACGCCGCGUGAGUGAAGAAGGUUGUCGGAUCGUAAAACUCUGUUGGUAGAGAAGAACGUUGGUGAGAGUGGAAAGCUCAUAAAGUGACGGUAACUACACAGAAAGGGACGGCUAACUACGUG
This 497-nucleotide ribosomal RNA is filed under the name uncultured bacterium. RNAcentral describes it as "partial 16S ribosomal RNA". It matches the Rfam family "Bacterial small subunit ribosomal RNA", at positions 28 to 507 of the family's 1533-position model. The record is from RNAcentral.